UCUCACCAAAUUCCUUACCCAUCAGAUCUAAACACUGGUCUGAGUAGUUAUAAAAAGGGGAAAGUAACACUGAAACUAAUUUCAAUAUUUUUGUGACAUAUAAAC
RNAcentral lists this small nucleolar RNA (105 nucleotides) under Echinops telfairi (small Madagascar hedgehog). RNAcentral's name for it is "Small nucleolar RNA SNORA61 (ENSETEG00000024553.1)". The record is from RNAcentral. Lineage: Eukaryota; Metazoa; Chordata; Mammalia; Afrosoricida; Tenrecidae.